ACGGCGACGAUCAGACUUAGACCGUCGCCCGGCCGCCAUGACUGGUGCCGGCAAGAUCUCAGCAUGUAUGCAACAAGAUCAUGUCACGAUCGGCCUGCGACGAGGAACCUGGCGGGGCUCACCAUCUGGUACCCGGUGACCUGGUGCAGGUGGUGCCCUCUGCUGCUUCCGGCGGCGAAGCGCCCGCAUCCCGGCGACGCGGUGGGGUCUCCCUGCUCCAUCUCCCACAUGACCUGCAUGAAGUCGUCGACGGCGCAUGGCAGCUCGAGGGGCCCGUCGCAGCCGGCGAAGCCGUACUCGGUCUCGGCCUCGUCCAGCAGCGCCCGGAACAGCGGGUGGUUGGCGCAGCGGGCGCGCACCCCGAACCGCUCCUUCUCCGGGCCCACCAGCACCGUGAAGUAGCCGGCCGCGGGGACGGCGGCGCCGCCCCACGACGCGGACCUGUCGGGCGCCUGCGCCGGCGGCGGGCGCCUACGGUGGGCCGCCGCCAGCGAGGUCCGGCACCGCUGCAACGUCUUGGCCAGGAUGUUCUUCUUCUCGCCGCCUUCCUUCAUUGUUGCUAGCUAGCAACUACGAGCACAAAAUACAAACUACGUACGAAAGGCACUAGGCUAACGAUCGAGACGAGCUGGUUUAUUAUGUUCAACAGGAAGAAAGAGCCACAAGCAGCGACC
This 674-nucleotide long non-coding RNA is filed under the name Setaria italica (foxtail millet). Its description in RNAcentral is "long non-coding RNA (SITA_LNC000434)". The record is from RNAcentral. Lineage: Eukaryota; Viridiplantae; Streptophyta; Magnoliopsida; Poales; Poaceae.